Molecule: ribosomal RNA, 469 nt
Filed under: uncultured bacterium
Lineage: Bacteria
Description: bacterial SSU rRNA
Rfam family: Bacterial small subunit ribosomal RNA
Source: RNAcentral
AACGCUGGCGGCACGCUAACACAUGCAAGUCGAACGGAGUUAUUCGGAGCUUGCUUGAAUAACUAGUGGCGACGGGUGAGUAACACGUGAGCAACCUGCCUUGAGAGUGGAAUAGCUUCUGGAAACGGAUGGUAAUACCGCAUAACAUUGCCGGACCGCAUGAUCUGGCAAUCAAAGAUUUAUCGCUCAAAGAUGGGCUCGCGUCUGAUUAGGUAGUUGGUGAGGUAACGGCUCACCAAGCCGACGAUCAGUAGCCGGACUGAGAGGUUGAACGGCCACAUUGGGACUGAGACACGGCCCAGACUCCUACGGGAGGCAGCAGUGGGGAAUAUUGCACAAUGGGCGCAAGCCUGAUGCCAGCGAUGCCGCGUGGAGGAAGAAGGUUUUCGGAUUGUAAACUCCUGAUCUGAGGGACGAUAAUGACGGUACCUCAGGAGAAAGCUCCGGCUAACUACGUGCCAGCCGCCGC